Molecule: ribosomal RNA, 440 nt
Filed under: uncultured bacterium
Lineage: Bacteria
Description: bacterial SSU rRNA
Rfam family: Bacterial small subunit ribosomal RNA
Source: RNAcentral
CCUACGGGAGGCACCAGUAGGGAAUAUUGGACAAUGGGGGCAACCCUGAUCCAGCAAUGCCGCGUGAGUGAUGAAGGCCUUUGGGUUGUAAAGCUCUUUUACCCGGGAUGAUAAUGACAGUACCGGGAGAAUAAGCCCCGGCUAACUCCGUGCCAGCAGCCGCGGUAAUACGGAGGGGGCUAGCGUUGUUCGGAAUUACUGGGCGUAAAGCGCACGUAGGCGGCGAUUUAAGUCAGAGGUGAAAGCCCGGGGCUCAACCCCGGAACUGCCUUUGAGACUGGAUUGCUUGAAUCCGGGAGAGGUGAGUGGAAUCCCGAGUGUAGAGGUGAAAUUCGUAGAUAUUCGGAAGAACACCAGUGGCGAAGGCGGCUCACUGGACCGGCAUUGACGCUGAGGUGCGAAAGCGUGGGGAGCAAACAGGAUUAGAUACCCGUGUAGUC